Molecule: ribosomal RNA, 700 nt
Filed under: uncultured bacterium
Lineage: Bacteria
Description: bacterial SSU rRNA
Rfam family: Bacterial small subunit ribosomal RNA
Source: RNAcentral
GGGGGGGCAUACAUGCAGUCGAGCGAAGCGAUUUUGAGGAAGUUUUCGGAUGGAAUCGAAAUUGACUUAGCGGCGGCACGUGUGAGUAACACGUGGGUAAUCUGCCUUAUACAGGGGGAUAACAGUUAGAAAUGACUGCUAAUACCGCAUAAGCGCACGGGGACGCAUGUUUCUGUGUGAAAAACUCCGGUAGUAUAAGAUGAGCCCGCGUCUGAUUAGCUGGUUGGUGGGGUAACGGCCUACCAAGGCGACGAUCAGUAGCCGGCCUGAGAGGGUGAACGGCCACAUUGGGACUGAGACACGGCCCAAACUCCUACGGGAGGCAGCAGUAGGGAAUUUUCGUCAAUGGGCGCAAGCCUGAACGAGCGAUGCCGCGUGAGUGAAGAAGGCCUUCGGGUCGUAAAGCUCUGUUGCGGGGGAAAAAAGGCAGCAUCAGGAAAUGGGUGCUGACUGAUGGUGCCCCGCCAGAAAGUCACGGCUAACUACGUGCCAGCAGCCGCGGUAAUACGUAGGUGGCGAGCGUUAUCCGGAAUGAUUGGGCGUAAAGGGUGCGCAGGCGGUCCUGCAAGUCUGGAGUGAAACGCAUGAGCUCAACUCAUGCAUGGCUUUGGAAACUGGAGGACUGGAGAGCAGGAGAGGGCGGUGGAACUCCAUGUGUAGCGCUAACAUGCGUAGAUAUAUGGAAGAACACCAUUGACAA